GAUGAACGCUGGCGGCGUGCCUAAUACAUGCAAGUCGAGCGAACGGACGAGAAGCUUGCUUCUCUGAUGUUAGCGGCGGACGGGUGAGUAACACGUGGAUAACCUACCUAUAAGACUGGGAUAACUUCGGGAAACCGUAGCUAAUACCGGAUAAUAUUUUGAACCGCAUGGUUCAAAAGUGAAAGACGGUCUUGCUGUCACUUAUAGAUGGAUCCGCGCUGCAUUAGCUAGUUGGUAAGGUAACGGCUUACCAAGGCAACGAUGCAUAGCCGACCUGAGAGGGUGAUCGGCCACACUGGAACUGAGGCACGGUCCAGACUCCUACGGGAGGCAGCAGUAGGGAAUCUUCCGCAAUGGGCGAAAGCCUGACGGAGCAACGCCGCGUGAGGGAUGAAGGUCUUCGGAUCGUAAAACUCUGUUAUUAGGGAAGAACAUAUGUGUAAGUAACUGUGCACAUCUUGACGGUACCUAAUCAGAAAGCCACGGCUAACUACGUG
Molecule: ribosomal RNA, 497 nt
Filed under: uncultured bacterium
Lineage: Bacteria
Description: partial 16S ribosomal RNA
Rfam family: Bacterial small subunit ribosomal RNA
Source: RNAcentral